This 217-nucleotide ribosomal RNA is filed under the name uncultured marine archaeon. RNAcentral describes it as "partial 16S ribosomal RNA". It matches the Rfam family "Archaeal small subunit ribosomal RNA", at positions 1121 to 1338 of the family's 1478-position model. The record is from RNAcentral.
GGAGGAAGGAAGGGGCCACGGCAGGUCGUUAUGCCCCGAAACUCUGGGGCCACACGCGGGCUGCAAUGGUAGUGACAAUGGGCUCCUAACUCGAAAGAGAGAGGCAAUCCACAAACACUACCACAGUUUAGACUGAGGGCUGUAACUCGCCCUCACGAAUAUGGAAUCCCUAGUAACUGCGUGUCAUUACCGCGCGGUGAAUACGUCCCUGCUCCUU